GCAGCAAUGGUGGAAUUGGUAGACACGCUAGCUUGAGGGGCUAGUGGCAGCGAUGCCGUGGAGGUUCAAGUCCUCUUUGCUGCA
This 84-nucleotide transfer RNA is filed under the name spirochete symbiont of Stewartia floridana. It matches the Rfam family "tRNA". From Rfam's summary of the family: Transfer RNA (tRNA) molecules are approximately 80 nucleotides in length. Lineage: Bacteria; Pseudomonadati; Spirochaetota; Spirochaetia; Spirochaetales. The record is from Rfam by way of RNAcentral.